UACAGAGGGUGCAAGCGUUAAUCGGAAUUACUGGGCGUAAAGCGUGCGUAGACGGUUACAUAAGUCGGGUGUGAAAGCCCCGGGCUCAACCUGGGAAUUGCAUUCGAGACUGCGUAGCUAGGGUGCGGAAGAGGGAAGCGGAAUUUCCGGUGUAGCGGUGAAAUGCGUAGAUAUCGUCAAGAACACCUAUAGCGAAGGCAGCUUACUAGGCUGUAACUGACGCUGAGGCACGAAAGUGUGGGGAUCAAACAGG
Molecule: ribosomal RNA, 253 nt
Filed under: uncultured bacterium
Lineage: Bacteria
Description: partial 16S ribosomal RNA
Rfam family: Bacterial small subunit ribosomal RNA
Source: RNAcentral